UACGUAGGGUGCAAGCGUUAAUCGGAAUUACUGGGCGUAAAGCGUGCGCAGGCGGUUUUGUAAGUCUGUCGUGAAAUCCCCGGGCUUAGCCUGGGAAUGGCGAUGGAGACUGCAAGGCUAGAGUUUGGCAGAGGGGGGUAGAAUUCCACGUGUAGCAGUGAAAUGCGUAGAGAUGUGGAGGAACACCGAUGGCGAAGGCAGCCCCCUGGGUCAAAACUGACGCUCAUGCACGAAAGCGUGGGGAGCAAACAGG
This 253-nucleotide ribosomal RNA is filed under the name uncultured bacterium. RNAcentral's name for it is "partial 16S ribosomal RNA". It matches the Rfam family "Bacterial small subunit ribosomal RNA", at positions 524 to 776 of the family's 1533-position model. The record is from RNAcentral.